This 493-nucleotide ribosomal RNA is filed under the name uncultured bacterium. Its description in RNAcentral is "partial 16S ribosomal RNA". It matches the Rfam family "Bacterial small subunit ribosomal RNA", at positions 29 to 507 of the family's 1533-position model. The record is from RNAcentral.
ACGCACGCUGGCGGCGUGCUUCACACCUGCAAGUCGAACGGUGAAGCGCCUUCCUUUUUGGUGGGUGUGGAUGAGUGGCGAACGGGUGAGUAACACGUGAGUAACCUGCCCCCUUCUUCUGGAUAACCGCAUGAAAGUGUGGCUAAUACGGGAUAUUCUGGGUCUGUCGCAUGAUGGGUCUGGGAAAGAUAUUGUUUCGGUGGGGGAUGGGCUCGCGGCCUAUCAGCUUGUUGGUGGGGUGAUGGCCUACCAAGGCGGUGACGGGUAGCCGGCCUGAGAGGGUGGACGGUCACACUGGGACUGAGACACGGCCCAGACUCCUACGGGAGGCAGCAGUGGGGAAUAUUGCACAAUGGGCGCAAGCCUGAUGCAGCGACGCCGCGUGAGGGAUGGAGGCCUUCGGGUUGUGAACCUCUUUCGCCAGUGAAGCAGGCCUGCCUCGUUUGUGGGUGGGUUGACGGUAGCUGGAGAAGAAGCGCCGGCUAACUACGUG